RNAcentral lists this ribosomal RNA (560 nucleotides) under Fusarium proliferatum. Its description in RNAcentral is "eukaryotic LSU rRNA". The stretch from base 179 to 332 matches the Rfam family "5.8S ribosomal RNA". Lineage: Eukaryota; Fungi; Ascomycota; Sordariomycetes; Hypocreales; Nectriaceae. The record is from RNAcentral.
UCCGUAGGUGAACCUGCGGAGGGAUCAUUACCGGGUUUACAACUCCCAAACCCCUGUGAACAUACCAAUUGUUGCCUCGGCGGAUCAGCCCGCUCCCGGUAAAACGGGACGGCCCGCCAGAGGACCCCUAAACUCUGUUUCUAUAUGUAACUUCUGAGUAAAACCAUAAAUAAAUCAAAACUUUCAACAACGGAUCUCUUGGUUCUGGCAUCGAUGAAGAACGCAGCAAAAUGCGAUAAGUAAUGUGAAUUGCAGAAUUCAGUGAAUCAUCGAAUCUUUGAACGCACAUUGCGCCCGCCAGUAUUCUGGCGGGCAUGCCUGUUCGAGCGUCAUUUCUCAACCCUCAAGCCCCCGGGUUUGGUGUUGGGGAUCGGCGAGCCCUUGCGGCAAGCCGGCCCCGAAAUCUAGUGGCGGUCUCGCUGCAGCUUCCAUUGCGUAGUAGUAAAACCCUCGCAACUGGUACGCGGCGCGGCCAAGCCGUUAAACCCCCAACUUCUGAAUGUUGACCUCGGAUCAGGUAGGAAUACCCGCUGAACUUAAGCAUAUCAAUAAGCGGAGGA